UACGGGGGGGGCAAGCGUUGUUCGGAAUUACUGGGCGUAAAGGGCUUGUAGGCGGCCAACUAAGUCCGACGUGAAAUCCCCAGGCUUAACCUGGGAACUGCGUCGGAUACUGGAUGGCUUGAAUUCGGGAGAGGGAUGCAGAAUUCCAGGUGUAGCGGUGAAAUGCGUAGAUAUCUGGAGGAAUACCGGUGGCGAAGGCGGCAUCCUGGACCGACAUUGACGCUGAGGAGCGAAAAGCAUGGGGAGCCGAACAGG
RNAcentral lists this ribosomal RNA (255 nucleotides) under uncultured bacterium. Its description in RNAcentral is "partial 16S ribosomal RNA". It matches the Rfam family "Bacterial small subunit ribosomal RNA", at positions 524 to 776 of the family's 1533-position model. The record is from RNAcentral.